This is a non-coding RNA of Microcebus murinus (gray mouse lemur), 7261 nucleotides long. Lineage: Eukaryota; Metazoa; Chordata; Mammalia; Primates; Cheirogaleidae. The record is from RefSeq and is a predicted model, not a curated record.
AGAUUUCUCCUCCUGCACAGCACCACCUGGCUCUAAACAGGACAUUGCUCUUUCCAGGACGUUUGCCUGGUCCCUGUGGGCUCCGAGUCUGGGACCCUAAGACAUGACCUGAGGGCCCCUUCAGCAAUGGGAAGAGACUACUGGGAACACUGCGGUAAAACAAAGGAAAAUCCACUGUGUCCCCUUUCAGGAAGAAAAGUGAUUAUGUUAAUCUUUCUUUGCCCUGGGGCUGGACCGUGCUGUCAGGGCCCCACGUCUCUCUGACCUGCCACUGGAGCGACCGGCCUUUAACCCUGGGCAGACCCCCUCCGUGGCUGCAGCCACCACGUCCACACCCGGCAAUGUCCGGAGGAUGGAAAGGAACGUUCUUGCCCAGUGGUAACAUUUUAGGAGGCAGAGGCCAUUCCUAGACACCCAGCAGACAUCCUGUCCUGUUCCCUUGGUUAGGAACAGGCUAAGCCCCAGGACAGUGUGAUCACAAGAUCAGUGUGGCCCAUCAGAAGUUACCACUGCAGUCCAGGAUGUAAUAUGGACCCAAAUGAAAUCAUGGCUCUACCAGCAAGGAAGAAGGUUGUUUCUCAAACGGUGGCUGCCUCAAGAGCUUUUCAAGGCCAUUUGCAGACUGAAGGAGUCUGAGUUAAGGCGUGUCUGUUGCCAGUUUGCGGUGCUGAAGUCGGCACGUGGUACGUUGGCACAUGGUCUGUAGGCCUGCGGUGUGUGCUGUGCCGGACACAACAUACCCAGGUUCUAACCCCUUGGCCAUCUGAGCCCAAAUGGACAGAAACAAAGGGACAACCACAGAUAAAGCCACCUGUCAGGUGAAGAUCGCUGUAAUCAUUUCUGCUCCUGAAAAAUUCCUCAGGGGACACUUUGUGUCACGUAUUAAGAAAACAGAAUAGAUUAAUUGGAGGAAAGAGGAAGAACAGGAGGAGACUCAGCAGUUCAAUGAACAUUUCUUGAGAGUAAUACUGGAAAUCCGAAUGCCAGCUGUGCCAGGGACGCCGUGGUGCGUCUCGGGGAGCAGAAUCCGGAGCAGGCGGAGGGCCGGGUGGGGAGACCCCUGCGCGGCCCGGAUCCCGCCCCCAGCCUGGAGGGGAUGAUGGCGGGACCUGAGCCCUAUGAAAUUGCCAGUGUUCUCUUGUCCUUGACUUACAAAAAUGGCAAUUUUACACGGCUCGCUGUAAAGAAAUGGAGAAAGAGGAACUUAGUUAAGAAAUGGAGAAAGAGGAAUUUAGUUAAGAAAUGGAGAAAGAGGAACGACACCAAUGGAAAUGAAUACUGAAAAUUUCGAGGUUCCUUAUAUUACAAGGAAUCCAGCUAGGGGGACUAGUUCUCCCUAAAAGGGGUUCCUAGCCCCAUCUCCUGCCUUCCCUGCUCCUUUCUCCUCCUCCACUGGACUCUGCCCACCUGCUCUUGUUGGAUCAUGGUGUAGGGAUGGGUCCACAGCUAGCAUUGGGGACUGUGGCCUCCAGAUUCCUAACUCGCUGACUGUGGCCAAGGCGGAGUCCACAGCGGGCAGCUCUAGGCCGUCGUCCUGGGCUCGUUCCUGGAGGCCCAUCUUCCGCCAGCUCCUCCAGGCCAGCCAGCGGCUUGGCCGUCGCCUGAUUCCCUGGACCAGAUCCUCCCUGCUCACACUGGCCAGAGGGGUGCAUCUGCGAUGUGCAUCUGAUCCUGACUGGUAAAGAGGAGCAGGAGAAUGCUCACCUUUUUCAUCCCUGUUUCUUUCCUUAAGACAAGUUUCAUCUGCCACUGAUUUCCGAAUGCACUCCAAAAACACAGCAAGCCGAGUGCAACUUCUACCUUAAAAGAGUCCCAUUGGUAUGCAUCUAAAACUGGGGCUAAAAUAAAUUCCAUCAACUAAAAUUCUCAUCUAAGUGAGCAUUUAACCACUUAUAGACUUUACCAAAAUCACAACAAGAAGAAAAUUCUCUAUAUUUUCCCCAGAACAGGUAUAUUAGAAAAAUGCUGAAAGACUUGAGAAUAUAAAGACAUCACAAAAGGGCUCAUCAUUUCAAAAAGAGAAUCAUCAUGAUCAUCUUACUUCACUAGCUCAAAUAAAAUGCAAUGGUUUCUUAUAAUCCAAGCAGUACCCACCAUUUCAGGAGUAUUUAUUGAGUACAUUGAUGUACACAGUAUUGCUUUUACAAUGAGAAACCUGCUGAACUUGCAGAGGUUUGCUGGAGAGUAAUUGCUGACUUUUAAAUGACAAUCAUUAUACUGAGUUUUUCCAUGAAUUUUCUCAUUUAAUCCUGCCAACAAUCUCAUGACAGGGAAACUGGCACACAGAGAGGUUAAGUGACUUGCCCACGGUCACACAGCUUGCAAGGGGUAGAGCUGGGGUUGGAACCCUGGGCCAUGUGAUAGCCAGCUCGAUGUCUGGCCACCAUGGCUGCAGUGCCCCCAAGGGUGUUGUGUGUAGCCUUUCCUACUCCACUCAACUCGUAGUGUAGACCCCCGACGACUUUCUUCUACUUUGUGCUUCUGAAAUUUGUCUCUGGCUGCUCUUCUCUCAAGGUGGGAAUCUCACAAUCUAUAAUGCUUUUUGGACCAUCACCUUGUUAUUUUACUUGAAUUUUAGAAAUUAGAAGGGUAACAAGGAUUUCAUUUUCUCAACUGGCUUCGCUUUGCAGACCCAACGCACCGUGACACCGUUCAGAGCGGUUUUCCCCGUUCGGGUCUUGGCAGGAACGAAGAGCAUCCUUCCCACCACGUGGUCCACAUGAGGGCUCAGGGAAGACCUAAGCAUGAUGCUGUCUGCGAAGGCGACUUUGGCAUCGGCUGCCAAGCUCCUGGGUCGAGUUGGGUGAAGUGUUCGUGGAAGAUUGGGGUCCGGGGCCGCCUGACAGGAGCAAGUGGCCUGAUUGUUCGUUCCUGCAUUCAUAAACAAACAAACAAACAAACAAACAAACAAACAAACAAACAAACAAACAAACAGCGGGGGUGGACGCCGAGCAUUUUUACAGCCGAGAUUGCUGCAUUCAGAAGGAACGUUGUUGACCUGCUGGUUGUCAGGAUUCUGGACCAUGGUCACCUCCUGCCCAAGGACACGGUUAAGGACCAGGCUCCCACCUGACCCUGUGGAGGCUCCUUGCUUGCAUUUGCCAACCUGCUGUGUAGACCAGUCUUUGAUCUGUAUGAAAUCACCCACAGUCGUCAGGAACAACCUUGAUUCAUUCUCUCUGGGGUCACUUACCUUUUGUCUCUGGGGUAACUUGGAUUCUUCGCAGAGCAGGGCAUUCUCCUUGAGCAAAUAGAGAAGAAACGUCCGGCAGGCCUCCAUGAACCUGGCCAUGAUGCCGCUCCCCCUGGGGUUUGGAGCAUCUCCAGACAAACUGUGCCCCUCUGGUUUGUAGCCGCGGCAACUCCAGGGACACCAGAGCUCUGCAGGCUCCAGUUUCCCCAUUUUGCUCAAGUGGGUUUGUUCUGGUUUUCAUUGCUGCUUCUUUAACUCAGACAUCAGACUAAACAUUUGAGAAUGCCCUCCCACUGUCUGUCCUUCUCUGCAAUGUAUUCAUGUUCUGCCUUCCCCGGACAGAGGCCAGCUGUCCCUCUGGCCCCUCACGACACCCUGUCUCUGUCACACUGACCACAGUGUUCAGCUAUUAUUUUUCUGCUUUCCUCUGGUAUCCAUAGACUGUGAGCUCCAGGGCACUCAAGAGAUGUUUGCUGAAGUGAAUUUAGUUAUUUUAUUCAAGCCUCGAAAUCACCUGGCACAGGAGGUGGAUUCUUCCCUGCAGAGGGAGAAACUGAGUCGCAGCCGUGUUCAGAGACAACCACAGGAGCCUCAUGGCAUUGGUGGUGGAGCCGGGACUUGGACUGCUAUAUCCAGGCUCCCAGAUGCUAGACCCUGGGCAGUUUUCCUGUUGUCCUUGGCUCAGUUGACCAAGCUACACCUGCCCUUUGAUUGGAAGGGGAGUUUCUAACACAUCUGGAGGGUCUGGAUGGGGUCAGGUGAAUGGGUACCUCCUGUUUUCAAGGCCAUCCUCAGAGCUGCCUAAAUUUCAGCCUUAGGGCAUGUUGGUGGGCCCCUCGGGCUCAGGAGAGGGGCCAUCCUAGAGGUCCUCCUGAGCCCCCCAGCCCUGGAGCAGGCCCCUCCCUGUCUGUGGCCCCCAGGGCAUUGAUCACACAAAGCCAGGGCCCCUGGUUACCACGGCAACCUCAUCCCAUGUCACAGUGCUGUGUGGGUGCAUCCUGAUGGCUGAGCCCUCAGCAGCUUGUCUGCCCUCUGCACACAAGGGACACUGGACAAAGUGGGGCGUGGGACUCCAGGUUGGAAGGCACGAUUCACACCUGGAGAAGCAAUGCUAAUAAGAGAGGCAUGUACACGACUUGGCGAGUGGCAAGUCGGUAAUGACAGAUGUCCACUGCACUGCGAGUCCUUCUCUUCCCCCACCUUCUAAACAGGGCUGAGGAUGUUGGAGAUACAGUUUCAAUUAGUGCUCAGGUCGUCUCCGGUGCCCUGUCCCUGAACACUGGAGAAAGUUCCUGUGGUAAAAUGUAGCAGGGACCAGGCCCUCCUCAGAUGGCGAAACUCUGGCACCUUGAUCUUGGACUCCUCAGCGUCCAGAACUGCUCUUUAUAAAUUAACUAGUCUCAGGUAUUUUGUUAUAGCAGCACAAAUGAACUGAGACAGUUCUUAAUCGUUUGGCCUGGAGAUUAUCCAAGUGGGCCUAAACUAAUGACACGAGCCCUUUCGAGCAGAGAGUGUUCUCUAGUGGCUGGUGGAAGGAGAAGUCAGGGGGAUCCAAAGGCGACAGGGAGGUUCUCCCUUCCUGGCUUUGAUGUGGACUGGGUCACUAGGCAAUAGUUAGUAAGAAAACAGAACCUGAGUCCCAGAACCACAAGGAACUGAGUUUUGGCACAGUCUGGAGGGGCAGAAAGCAGACUGUCCUUGGAGCCCCUGGGCAACACACCUGGGGGCUCCAGGUUUCAGCUCCAGCAAGCACAGGCAGAGACCCCAGCCCAGCCCUCCAGGGCUUCUGAGCUGCAGGACUGUGUGAUGAUCCAUGGGUGCUGUUUAAAGCUGCUAAGUUUGUGGCAUUACACAGCCCUAGAUAACUCUAGCAUUGGGUCACUGCCGUGCGGUGACUGUUUAUCUUCUGGGCACCACCAAAGGGACUGUUGGCAGGGCAGAAGCACCGUGAGGUGGCUUCUCCUUGGUCUCUGGAGCCCUGUCGAUGUCCGUCCCCCUUCUGUGGACAGGGAGUGCAGGGGGGCGCUUGCUGCUCCAGUGAUGGAGGGACUGGCGGUGCCCAGGGCCAGGGGCUCCCACCUGAAGACGCCACCAGUGGCAAGAGACUUGUCUGUGACUGAGAGGCCAAAGAGCAUAUGGUGGCUCAGUGGGACGCCCAGGAGAAGGACGGCUUCUCAAGUGUCUUCUGACUCAUCGUCCUACUUCUCCCUGGAGGAUGAGCUGUGACCGAGGAGGGCAGACACAGGCAGCCAGCGCGAGGGACGUAAGGUCCUGGUGAUAUCUCUUUAACUCAGCCUUCACUUUGAUUGGUGAGGCCUUGCUGGCGAAAUGCGUGAGGCUCACGCUCCAGACUGUAAACCUAAUAGGAAUUCGGUUCGCUUCACGAGUCAAGAUAAUUGUGCUUUGAGAAAUGCUUUCAACAUAACAUUAAUUUUGACCUUUACGUAAAGAGUGACAUCAGUGUAUUUUUAAAAUGGAUAUUCAUGCAUGACACAGUUUCCAUUAUCACCUUAUCAGAUUUCCCAGUUGCUGCAGCAGUAGGGAGUUCAGUUGUUUAAAAUAAGCAAUCACUUAUUUUUAUGCUCUUGUGGGGACAUGUUAUGGUGAUUGAAUGGAAUUUUCUUUUUCCUUUUUUUUCCCACCCCGACGAGGGCCUCAAGAACAAAGGCCGUUGGAGAGGCUGGUCUUCCGCACAGAGCCCAUUGGUUGUGACCAGGCUUGACUGAAAACGAAGAGCACAGCAGAGCAUUGGCACCCUCGUCCCUCCUGCUCUGCGCUGCUGCUGGUCAGACUCAUGGCAGGAAACGGCCACACACUUUGAUUAGCCUUUGAUUUCACAGCUUUUGUGUAAAAUAUUUUAAAAACAGGUUCUGUGUAUAUAUAAAUUCUGGCUGGACGAUUGGAACCUUUUUCCUGCUGCCUGUUGGCAGGUGGUGAAGUCACAGGGGCAAGAGCCCGAUAAGUGGGUUUUGGGUAGCAGUGGCUGCCCUGUUUAUGUGGCUAUUUUUCUGGGUCAUUCUUUUUAAACAUUUAACUAACAUGAAUCAUUGAAUCUAGGUGCAUAAAAUGUACACAGAAUGGGAUUUAUUGGUUCUCCAAGAAGUAGAAUAAUUUAUAGUCUGUUAUUUGCCAACAGUGGCAUUCCCACUUGACUCUGGAUUGUCUGCGGUUCCAGAGAGCCACAGGGCCUGCACUCUUGCUUAUUUUAGCAGCUCAAGGGCUUUGCCCCAACCUCUUGCUUGUCCUAUCCACUGGAGUUUCACACACGGCCACUAAGUGCCAAAUGCUGUCUCCUACUCAGUAGCUGGUUCCUCUGGAUGAACUCCAAGGAGUCCUGGAGUCAAGAUGGUCUCAUGAUGGGGGAGCAGCCAGAAGACCUUGGCCAACCUUUCUAUAAUUGGUACACACACACACACAUACAUACACAUACACAUUCAUGCUGAUGUACGCAUGAGCUGUAUGUGUAUGUGUGUGUAUAAAUACAGGUUGAGUAUCCCUUAUCCAAAAAAAAUGGUUGGGACGAGAAGUGUUUGGGAUUUCCAUUUUUUUCAGAUUUUGGGUUAUUCCAUUUACAUAAUGAGAUAUUUUGGGGAUGAGAUCCAAAUUUAAACACAAAAUGCAUUUAUGUUUCAUAUACACUUUAAAACAGCCUGAAAGUAAUUUUAUACAACAUUUUAAAUAAUUUUGUGCGUGAAACAAAAGUUUUGACUGUGACCUGUCCCAUGAGGUCAGGUGUGGAAUUGUCCACCCGUGGUAUCAUCUUUUUAUCAUUCAAAAGUUCAAAGUUUGGAUUCUAGAUUUUUGCAUUAGGAAUGCCCAACCUGUACAAUAAAUGUGUUUAUUUAUUUCUUAGCUCUAAGACCCCUCUGAAGAUGUUGGAAAAGAGGAGAGGGGAGACAAGAGCACAGAGAUUACUGUGCAAAGCCUGAAAUCAGCCUGACAGAGGGAAAUGGACGCCGCUUCGCCAGGAGCUGCUCUUCCGGGGGCCGCCGAGAACCCAAGCUGGCAGGGACAGCACGUGUGUCUCAUGCCCGAGGCCUCUGCCCUGAGCAGGGGCCACUGCGAGCA